UACGUAGGGGGCUAGCGUUGUCCGGAAUCAUUGGGCGUAAAGCGCGUGUAGGCGGUCCGGUAAGUCCGCUGUGAAAGUCGAGGGCUCAACCCUCGAAUGCCGGUGGAUACUGUCGGGCUUGAGUACGGGAGAGGCGAGUGGAAUUCCUGGUGUAGCGGUGAAAUGCGCAGAUAUCAGGAGGAACACCGGUGGCGAAGGCAGGUCUCUGGGCCACUACUGACGCUGAGAAGCGAAAGCAUGGGGAGCAAACAGG
RNAcentral lists this ribosomal RNA (253 nucleotides) under uncultured bacterium. RNAcentral describes it as "partial 16S ribosomal RNA". It matches the Rfam family "Bacterial small subunit ribosomal RNA", at positions 524 to 776 of the family's 1533-position model. The record is from RNAcentral.